Molecule: long non-coding RNA, 740 nt
Organism: Papaver somniferum (opium poppy)
Lineage: Eukaryota; Viridiplantae; Streptophyta; Magnoliopsida; Ranunculales; Papaveraceae
Exons: 3
Source: RefSeq, a predicted model, not a curated record
GGUUUUUCUUUCCCACCAACUAAUCUAGCAGGAUUACCAACAACAGUAGUUCUUGCAGGCACAUCUACUAAACAUAUCUCAUUAAAAGAGAAGUGUUUCUCAUUGCAGGGUGUGAAAUCUGCGGUGGUGUCACACGUUGAUGUUGCGGCGAAGGAUAUCCUAAAGAAGUUCACAUCCUGGCAUGAUGGUGGCGUAUGUUAGCAGAGUUAUGGCAUGAUGAUGAUUUCUACGGAGGAAGAUCAAAGGGGAUUUAAUACGAGGUUCAUCUCGGUUUCUUCAUUUUUCUAUUGUGCAGGAAAGCCAAGAGUUAUUCACAACACAGUCAAGGAGCUGAUUUCCAAUUGGAAUUGUCGGGACCUCUCUACAAAAGGAAAAGAAAUUUGGAAGCGAUUGCCUACUAGCAUUCUUUGGUUUGUUUGGAACGGACGCAAUGCAAGAACUUUCACAGAUAAAUCGAAGGAUGUUGCUGAUCUUAUAACGUCCAUUAAGUUACAAACUUUUUAUUGGGCUUCUACUGAACCUUGCUUUUUAGAUUUCUGUUCAGAUGACAUUGUUGUAAAUUGGAAAGAAAAACUUUUCCAACCUCCAUAGUGUUGUCGCGUGAGGUUGGUGUGGUUUGAACCUUGUUUUCUUGUUCGAGGUUCUUCGAUUUCAUCAGCUUGUUGUUGAUGGUUGGGAGGUGUUUUCAGCCUCCUUGUUGUGUUCUUAUGUAUCUGUUAUACUCUUUUUAUAAAAUUUCU